RNAcentral lists this ribosomal RNA (460 nucleotides) under uncultured bacterium. RNAcentral's name for it is "bacterial SSU rRNA". It matches the Rfam family "Bacterial small subunit ribosomal RNA", at positions 29 to 524 of the family's 1533-position model. The record is from RNAcentral.
AACGAACGCUGGCGGCAUGCCUAACACAUGCAAGUCGAACGGGAUCUUGACUUCGGUCAGGUGAGAGUGGCGGACGGGUGAGUAACACGUGGGAACCUGCCUUUUGGUUCGGGAUAACCGCGGGAAACUGCGGCUAAUACCGGAUACUCCCGAGAGGGGAAAGAUUUAUCGCCAGAAGAGGGGCCCGCGUCCGAUUAGGUAGUUGGUGGGGUAAUGGCCUACCAAGCCGACGAUCGGUAGCUGGUCUGAGAGGAUGAUCAGCCACACUGGGACUGAGAUACGGCCCAGACUCCUACGGGAGGCAGCAGUGGGGAAUUUUGGACAAUGGGGGCAACCCUGAUCCAGCAAUGCCGCGUGAGUGAUGAAGGCCUUAGGGUUGUAAAGCUCUUUUGCCAGGGAAGAUGAUGACUGUACCUGGAGAAUAAGCCCCGGCUAACUUCGUGCCAGCAGCCGCGGUAAU